UACGGAGGCAGCAGUGGGGAAUAUUGCACAAUGGGCGCAAGCCUGAUGCAGCCAUGCCGCGUGUAUGAAGAAGGCCUUCGGGUUGUAAAGUACUUUCAGUCGUGAGGAAGGUGUUAAGGUUAAUAACCUUAGCAAUUGACGUUAGCGACAGAAGAAGCACCGGCUAACUCCGUGCCAGCAGCCGCGGUAAUACGGAGGGUGCGAGCGUUAAUCGGAAUUACUGGGCGUAAAGGGCACGCAGGCGGUUAAUUAAGUUGGAUGUGAAAUCCCCGGGCUUAACCUGGGAAUGGCAUUCAAGACUGGUUAGCUAGAGUCUUGUAGAGGGGGUAGAAUUCCAUGUGUAGCGGUGAAAUGCGUAGAGAUGUGGAGGAAUACCGGUGGCGAAGGCGGCCCCUGGACAAAGACUGACGCUCAUGUGCGAAAGCGUGGGGAGCGAAACAGGGAUUAGAUACC
Molecule: ribosomal RNA, 453 nt
Filed under: uncultured bacterium
Lineage: Bacteria
Description: bacterial SSU rRNA
Rfam family: Bacterial small subunit ribosomal RNA
Source: RNAcentral